RNAcentral lists this ribosomal RNA (253 nucleotides) under uncultured bacterium. Its description in RNAcentral is "partial 16S ribosomal RNA". It matches the Rfam family "Bacterial small subunit ribosomal RNA", at positions 524 to 776 of the family's 1533-position model. The record is from RNAcentral.
UACGGAGGAUCCAAGCGUUAUCCGGAUUUAUUGGGUUUAAAGGGUGCGUAGGCGGCCUUGUAAGUCAGGGGUGAAAGACGGUAGCUCAACUAUCGCAGUGCCCUUGAUACUGCAGGGCUUGAAUACACUAGAGGUAGGCGGAAUGUGACAAGUAGCGGUGAAAUGCAUAGAUAUGUCACAGAACCCCGAUUGCGAAGGCAGCUUACUAUGGUGAAAUUUCCGCUGCGGCACGAAAUCGUGGGGAUCAAACAGG